GACGAACGCUGGCGGCGUGCCUAACACAUGCAAGUCGAACGGGACUUAGUGGAAUGCGGCUUCGGCCAAAGGAAGCUAAGUUUAGUGGCGAACGGGUGAGUAACGCGUGAGGAACCUGCCUUUCAGUGGGGGACAACAGUUGGAAACGACUGCUAAUACCGCAUAAUGUGUCUUGGGGGCAUCCCUGAGAUACCAAAGCUUUAUGUGCUGAAGAUGGCCUCGCGUCUGAUUAGAUAGUUGGUGGGGUAACGGCCUACCAAGUCGACGAUCAGUAGCCGGUCUGAGAGGAUGAACGGCCACAUUGGGACUGAGAUACGGCCCAGACUCCUACGGGAGGCAGCAGUGGGGAAUAUUGGGCAAUGGGGGAAACCCUGACCCAGCAACGCCGCGUGAAGGAAGAA
This 401-nucleotide ribosomal RNA is filed under the name uncultured bacterium. RNAcentral's name for it is "bacterial SSU rRNA". It matches the Rfam family "Bacterial small subunit ribosomal RNA", at positions 28 to 412 of the family's 1533-position model. The record is from RNAcentral.